This 438-nucleotide ribosomal RNA is filed under the name uncultured bacterium. RNAcentral's name for it is "partial 16S ribosomal RNA". It matches the Rfam family "Bacterial small subunit ribosomal RNA", at positions 29 to 507 of the family's 1533-position model. The record is from RNAcentral.
AACGAACGCUGGCGGCAUGCCUAACACAUGCAAGUCGAACGAGACUUUCGGGUCUAGUGGCGCACGGGUGCGUAACGCGUGGGAACCUGCCCUUAGGUUCGGAAUAACUCCCCGAAAGGGGUGCUAAUACCGGAUAAUGUCUUCGGACCAAAGAUUUAUCGCCUUUGGAUGGGCCCGCGUUGGAUUAGCUAGUUGGUAGGGUAAAAGCCUACCAAGGCGACGAUCGAUAGCUGGUCUGAGAGGAUGACCAGCCACACUGGGACUGAGACACGGCCCAGACGGGGAAGGGAGGCAGCAGGGGGGAAGAGGGCAAAAGGGGCGAAAGCGUGAUGCAGAGACGCCGCGUGGGGGAUGAAGGCCUUCGGGUUGUAAACAUCUGGCAGCAGGGAAGAAGCGAAAGUGACGGUACCUGCAGAAGAAGCACCGGCUAACUACGUG